GAUAAGGUAGUUCAAGUAGAAUGAUAGAUUGUGGUUCUAUAGAUGAAAACAUAUUCCCUUAUUA
Molecule: transfer RNA, 64 nt
Filed under: Echyridella menziesii
Lineage: Eukaryota; Metazoa; Mollusca; Bivalvia; Unionida; Hyriidae
Description: tRNA-His
Rfam family: tRNA
About the family: Transfer RNA (tRNA) molecules are approximately 80 nucleotides in length. Their secondary structure includes four short double-helical elements and three loops (D, anti-codon, and T loops).
Source: RNAcentral